GGUUAAGCGACUAAGCGUACACGGUGGAUGCCCUGGCAGUCAGAGGCGAUGAAGGGCGUGCUAAUCUGCGAUAAGCGCCGGUAAGGUGAUAUGAACCGUUAUAACCGGCGAUACCCGAAUGGGGAAACCCAGUGUGAUUCGUCACACUAUCAUUAACUGAAUCCAUAGGUUAAUGAGGCGAACCGGGGGAACUGAAACAUCUAAGUACCCCGAGGAAAAGAAAUCAACCGAGAUUCCCCCAGUAGCGGCGAGCGAACGGGGAGGAGCCCAGAGCCUGAAUCAGCAUGUGUGUUAGUGGAAGCGUCUGGAAAGGCGCGCGAUACAGGGUGACAGCCCCGUACACAAAAGCGCAUGUGCUGUGAGCUCGAUGAGUAGGGCGGGACACGUGGUAUCCUGUCUGAAUAUGGGGGGACCAUCCUCCAAGGCUAAAUACUCCUGACUGACCGAUAGUGAACCAGUACCGUGAGGGAAAGGCGAAAAGAACCCCGGCGAGGGGAGUGAAAAAGAACCUGAAACCGUGUACGUACAAGCAGUGGGAGCCCCACCACCAAAGCAUUCUCUGGUGUUGAAGGCCCUGCAAAGCAGCAUCGCGGUGGCGGAGCGUCGUUUGCGACGCCCAACACACAAAACAAGCGGUGAAUGCUUUGGGGUGGGGUGACUGCGUACCUUUUGUAUAAUGGGUCAGCGACUUAUAUUCUGUAGCAAGGUUAACCGAAUAGGGGAGCCGGAGGGAAACCGAGUCUUAAUUGGGCGUUAAGUUGCAGGGUAUAGACCCGAAACCCGGUGAUCUAGCCAUGGGCAGGUUGAAGGUUGGGUAACACUAACUGGAGGACCGAACCGACUAAUGUUGAAAAAUUAGCGGAUGACCUGUGGCUGGGGGUGAAAGGCCAAUCAAACCGGGAGAUAGCUGGUUCUCCCCGAAAGCUAUUUAGGUAGCGCCUCGUGAAUUCAUCUCCGGGGGUAGAGCACUGUUUCGGCUAGGGGGCCAUCCCGGCUUACCAACCCGAUGCAAACUGCGAAUACCGGAGAAUGUUAUCACGGGAGACACACGGCGGGUGCUAACGUCCGUCGUGAAGAGGGAAACAACCCAGACCGCCAGCUAAGGUCCCAAAGUCAUGGUUAAGUGGGAAACGAUGUGGGAAGGCCCAGACAGCCAGGAUGUUGGCUUAGAAGCAGCCAUCAUUUAAAGAAAGCGUAAUAGCUCACUGGUCGAGUCGGCCUGCGCGGAAGAUGUAACGGGGCUAAACCAUGCACCGAAGCUGCGGCAGCGAACGUAUCACCCAAGACAACUUUACGGAGUUGACGAUUGACGGAGCGAAGCGACGUCAAAGCGUUCAUUAAAGUCGAGUUGGCUUAGGGAUACGUUCGUUGGGUAGGGGAGCGUUCUGUAAGCCUGUGAAGGUGUGUCGUGAGGCAUGCUGGAGGUAUCAGAAGUGCGAAUGCUGACAUAAGUAACGAUAAAGCGGGUGAAAAGCCCGCUCGCCGGAAGACCAAGGGUUCCUGUCCAACGUUAAUCGGGGCAGGGUGAGUCGACCCCUAAGGCGAGGCCGAAAGGCGUAGUCGAUGGGAAACGGGUUAAUAUUCCCGUACUUGGUGUUACUGCGAAGGGGGGACGGAGAAGGCUAUGUUGGCCGGGCGACGGUUGUCCCGGUUUAAGCGUGUAGGUGUGUGUUCCAGGUAAAUCCGGUUCACUUUAACACUGAGGCGUGACGACGAGGCACUACGGUGCUGAAGCAACAAAUGCCCUGCUUCCAGGAAAAGCCUCUAAGCAUCAGGUAACACGAAAUCGUACCCCAAACCGACACAGGUGGUCAGGUAGAGAAUACCAAGGCGCUUGAGAGAACUCGGGUGAAGGAACUAGGCAAAAUGGUGCCGUAACUUCGGGAGAAGGCACGCUGACACGUAGGUGAAGUGAUUUACUCAUGGAGCUGAAGUCAGUCGAAGAUACCAGCUGGCUGCAACUGUUUAUUAAAAACACAGCACUGUGCAAACACGAAAGUGGACGUAUACGGUGUGACGCCUGCCCGGUGCCGGAAGGUUAAUUGAUGGGGUCAGCGUAAGCGAAGCUCCUGAUCGAAGCCCCGGUAAACGGCGGCCGUAACUAUAACGGUCCUAAGGUAGCGAAAUUCCUUGUCGGGUAAGUUCCGACCUGCACGAAUGGCGUAAUGAUGGCCAGGCUGUCUCCACCCGAGACUCAGUGAAAUUGAACUCGCUGUGAAGAUGCAGUGUACCCGCGGCAAGACGGAAAGACCCCGUGAACCUUUACUAUAGCUUGACACUGAACAUUGAGCCUUGAUGUGUAGGAUAGGUGGGAGGCUUUGAAGUGUGGACGCCAGUCUGCAUGGAGCCGACCUUGAAAUACCACCCUUUAAUGUUUGAUGUUCUAACGUGGACCCGUAAUCCGGGUUGCGGACAGUGUCUGGUGGGUAGUUUGACUGGGGCGGUCUCCUCCUAAAGAGUAACGGAGGAGCACGAAGGUUGGCUAAUCCUGGUCGGACAUCAGGAGGUUAGUGCAAUGGCAUAAGCCAGCUUGACUGCGAGCGUGACGGCGCGAGCAGGUGCGAAAGCAGGUCAUAGUGAUCCGGUGGUUCUGAAUGGAAGGGCCAUCGCUCAACGGAUAAAAGGUACUCCGGGGAUAACAGGCUGAUACCGCCCAAGAGUUCAUAUCGACGGCGGUGUUUGGCACCUCGAUGUCGGCUCAUCACAUCCUGGGGCUGAAGUAGGUCCCAAGGGUAUGGCUGUUCGCCAUUUAAAGUGGUACGCGAGCUGGGUUUAGAACGUCGUGAGACAGUUCGGUCCCUAUCUGCCGUGGGCGCUGGAGAACUGAGGGGGGCUGCUCCUAGUACGAGAGGACCGGAGUGGACGCAUCACUGGUGUUCGGGUUGUCAUGCCAAUGGCACUGCCCGGUAGCUAAAUGCGGAAGAGAUAAGUGCUGAAAGCAUCUAAGCACGAAACUUGCCCCGAGAUGAGUUCUCCCUGAGACUUUAGGUCUCCUGAAGGAACGUUGAAGACGACGACGUUGAUAGGCCGGGUGUGUAAGCGCAGCGAUGCGUUGAGCUAACCGGUACUAAUGAACCGUGAGGCUUAACCUU
RNAcentral lists this ribosomal RNA (3092 nucleotides) under Salmonella enterica subsp. enterica serovar Typhimurium. RNAcentral describes it as "23S ribosomal RNA". It matches the Rfam family "Bacterial large subunit ribosomal RNA". The record is from RNAcentral. Lineage: Bacteria; Pseudomonadati; Pseudomonadota; Gammaproteobacteria; Enterobacterales; Enterobacteriaceae.